CUCUUCUCUGUGGUACUGUUUUGAUUUGAAUAAAUUAUUAUACAAGCUUUACUAACUGAUCUACACCUCCCAGUCUUAUGUUUUGUUAAAACCUUAUUAUGAGAUGAAAAUGUAAUUUUAUUUAGUAUACUGUUGAGUGUUUUUUGAAUGUGAUAAUUGAGUUUCUUAUCUAAAAUAUUUAAAAGUGAAUAUAGAACUAUCUUUUUGCAAAUAUUGCUGUAAUAGCCGGUUCUUGAAGAAUGAAGUGCAAGAAUAUUUCGGCUGAGUUCCAUCGUGAAAGAGUUGGCGUUGCAUCUAGUGCAGAUGCUCGAUUCACCCAUAACAAGAUCGAAGAAUGGAUUGAUAAUCUUGAUAUUCAUGCUUAAGGCAGGCUCUAUCUUGAAAUAGUAGAUGCUCCUCCAGUGCUCGAUUUGGAUUUUCUAUCAAUACUAAGCUUGAAGCUUUGGCUUUUCCACUGAAAAUUAUGCUCAACGCUAGUGGAAGGGGAAUAAUUUUCAGUGAAAAGGCCACAGUUCUAAUUGAGACGUUACCGGAAAACAUCGUGUAACGGUGUGCGAGCCUCGGUCCUCUGAAUGGGUCAAUUUCCCAUCCAGAGGGACUAAUUGACAAAUUUCAGUUAUCAGUAAUUUUUAUCUAUAUAAAUAGGAAAUCAAAUUUUAUAGAGUUAGUAAGAGAAGAAUCAGGAAAU
Molecule: long non-coding RNA, 688 nt
Organism: Nilaparvata lugens (brown planthopper)
Lineage: Eukaryota; Metazoa; Arthropoda; Insecta; Hemiptera; Delphacidae
Exons: 4
Source: RefSeq, a predicted model, not a curated record